CCUACGGGGGGCAGCAGUGGGGAAUAUUGGACAAUGGGGGGAACCCUGAUCCAGCGACGCCGCGUGAGUGAAGAAGUAUUUCGGUAUGUAAAGCUCUAUCAGCAGGGAAGAAAAUGACGGUACCUGACUAAGAAGCUCCGUCUAACUACGUGCCAGCAGCCGCGGUAAUACGUAGGGGGCAAGCGUUAUCCGGAUUUACUGGGGGUAAAGGGAGCGUAGACGGUGCAGCAAUUCUGGUGUGAAAGGUCGGGGGCCAACCCCGGGACUGCAUUUGAAACUGUUGAACUGGAGUGCAGGAGAGGUAAGCGGAAUGCCUGGUGUAGCGGUGAAAUGCGUAGAUAUUAGGAAGAACACCAGUGGCGAAGGCGGCUUACUGGACUGUAACUGACGUUGAGGCUCGAAAGCGUGGGGAGCAAACAGGAUUAGAUACCCGGGUAGUC
This 440-nucleotide ribosomal RNA is filed under the name uncultured bacterium. RNAcentral's name for it is "partial 16S ribosomal RNA". It matches the Rfam family "Bacterial small subunit ribosomal RNA", at positions 338 to 795 of the family's 1533-position model. The record is from RNAcentral.